GUGGGGAAUAUUGGACAAUGGGCGAAAGCCUGAUCCAGCCAUGCCGCGUGUGUGAAGAAGGUCUUCGGAUUGUAAAGCACUUAAGUUGGGAGGAAGGGCAGUAAGUUAAUACCUUGCUGUUUUGACGUUACCGACAGAAUAAGCACCGGCUAACUUCGUGCCAGCAGCCGCGGUAAUACGAAGGGUGCAAGCGUUAAUCGGAAUUACUGGGCGUAAAGCGCGCGUAGGUGGUUUUGUAAGUUGGAGGUGAAAUCCCCGGGCUCAACAUGGGAACUGCCUCCAAAACUGCAUGACUAGAGUACGGUAGAGGGUAGUGGAAUUUCCUGUGGAGCGGUGAAAUGCGUAGAUAUAGGAAGGAACACCAGUGGCGAAGGCGACUACCUGGACUGAUACUGACACUGAGGUGCGAAAGCGUGGGGAGCAAACAGGAUUAGAAACCCCGGUAGUCC
This 449-nucleotide ribosomal RNA is filed under the name uncultured bacterium. RNAcentral describes it as "bacterial SSU rRNA". It matches the Rfam family "Bacterial small subunit ribosomal RNA", at positions 354 to 796 of the family's 1533-position model. The record is from RNAcentral.